Molecule: ribosomal RNA, 254 nt
Filed under: uncultured bacterium
Lineage: Bacteria
Description: partial 16S ribosomal RNA
Rfam family: Bacterial small subunit ribosomal RNA
Source: RNAcentral
UACGUAGGGGGCGAGCGUUGUCCGGAUUUAUUGGGCGUAAAGAGCUCGUAGGCGGUUGGGUAAGUCGGGUGUGAAAACUCAGGGCUCAACUCUGAGACGCCACUCGAUACUGCCCUGACUCGAGUCCGGUAGGGGAGCGUGGAAUUCCCGGUGUAGCGGUGAAAUGCGCAGAUAUCGGGAGGAACACCGGUGGCGAAAGCGGCGCGCUGGACCUCUUCUGACGCUGAGGCGCGAAAGCCAGGGGAGCAAACGGG